This is a long non-coding RNA of Acipenser ruthenus (sterlet), 423 nucleotides long. RefSeq lists it as uncharacterized. The transcript has 2 exons. The record is from RefSeq and is a predicted model, not a curated record. Lineage: Eukaryota; Metazoa; Chordata; Actinopteri; Acipenseriformes; Acipenseridae.
GGAGGAUCUUCUCGUGCUGCGUCUCCUGGGCGUACCCCACCAUGUCUUCGAUGGCCUGGGCAGAUUUGGAGCCCAGCAUCACCAGACCCAGAGCCAGUCCUGCUGCCUCCCCUGGUGCACAGCAACAGAAAAGGGGAUUUCUUCAAAAUGCCAUGUUAAAAAUGCCACGUCUACCUGUGACAGCAUCAUCUUGGUAGAGGUUGGACUUGAGCAGGUCGUACACAUCCUGUCGGGCAGUUCCUAGGGCAGCCAGCCCCAGACCCAGGCAACCUCCGUGACGCACAAUCUGUGGGGGAGAAGAGAGAUGCACACUGAACACGAAGCGAUGCAGGAGGGGACACAAACCAAUGGGACCAACUUACUAAACUCAUAGUACUUAUCACUUACAUGUAUUUACAUAAGUAAAUUAAAAAAAAAAAACAA